This 656-nucleotide long non-coding RNA is filed under the name Zostera marina. RNAcentral describes it as "long non-coding RNA (ZMAR_LNC004224)". The record is from RNAcentral. Lineage: Eukaryota; Viridiplantae; Streptophyta; Magnoliopsida; Alismatales; Zosteraceae.
GUGCAUCCUCACCUCCUCUCACCCCCGAAGUCUUCCUCAUUCAUGGGUGUUGUAUGUGCGGCGUUAGGGGUAGCCGGUACAAUGGGGUAUGGUUUGCUGUGGUCAUCAAUCAUCGGUCAUGGAUAUAAGAUUAUAAGGUAUGUAAUCCUAAUUUUUUACCUACCUUCGAUUUCUUCUUCUUCCAAGCUUCAUUGCUACCUCCGAUAUCUUCUUUUUAUCCAAUUUUUUACCUCUGAUUUUUUACCAACUGACAAUGCCUCCAUAUUCUCCCUCAUCAGUGCUACCGUCUGUCGGGCAAGGAGAGAGUCUGACACCUUCACACUACAAAAAAAGGACCUUGUAUGACGGUCUUUGGAUGGCGAAUGUCCGCCAUCAAUAAUGAUGGCGAAUGUCCACCAUCAAUAAUGAUGGCGGAUGUCCGCCUUCAUUAUCUGAAGCGGUUCGGGAACUUCUCAUCCCUAAAUUGGUCUGAAUUAGUUUUUUAACAAUUCUUCAAAAAUACGGAUGUUGCAAGUUACUCCGUCCCGUCGAGAAAGAACAGGAUUGAAAGUUGGAGAAUACAUUUAUGGAUGUGUUUUUUCUUGAAUGUAAGGUUAUUCUAUAAUUGUUUUUAAUUUUGUUAAAUUAAUAAACAGGACAUAUGUUUUAAUGAAAAG